RNAcentral lists this long non-coding RNA (3094 nucleotides) under Mytilus galloprovincialis (Mediterranean mussel). The record is from RNAcentral. Lineage: Eukaryota; Metazoa; Mollusca; Bivalvia; Mytilida; Mytilidae.
UGUGUAAAAUCAUACAAGUGUUCGGUAAACAGGAAGUUGUCAAGUGAUCAAUCUGAAAACGCAUCACACGGUAUAGCUGACUUAUAUAAACCCUGAAACCAAAUUUCAGAAAUCCUUGUAUUGUAGUUCCUGAGAAAAAUGCAACGAAAAAUAUUCAUGGGACGGACGGACAGACAGAGGUAAAACAGUAUACCCCCCUUUUAAAAAAAAUAAAAAUUCAAUUUUCAUUAGGUCAAAUUGGUCAACAUAUGAAUUGUAUUUGAAAUUUUCUAACAGACUUUAAUUUUGAAUCUCUGUUCUUUGCAGAUUGUUUUCAUUGAUAUCAGUGAUCUUCCUAUUAAAUACUUAAACUGCACAUGUACAAAUGUAUGUUAUUACACAACAAAAGAUAAUUCGUUUAUUUUUUUAUAACUCAAUCUUAGUAUAAGAAUAAUCUUAAACAAGAAAAAACAUCAACACGUUAAAUGACAUUGUAGAUUGUUACUGUAAAAGGCCAGGGUGCAUGCACCAGAACAAAAGGUAAGGCAUAAAAACAACUGUGAAAAUGGUAAUGAGCAUCAUGAAAAAAAAAGUAUUUGAGCUGGACCUUUGAAAACAGAUGAAAUGAAAUAACGAUAUAGGACAAUCUCCUUUAGUCAGUUUAGUGUCAGUCCACAAAAAAGAAUUAUACCAAUUGCCUGAAAAUUCUAUAUAAAGAUUCCUGCAUUUAAGAGUAAUAUCCACAUUCAAAUGUUCAAAAUUUUCAGAUUCUAAUUUCCACAAUAAAAAAAAACAAUGGAUCAUUUCAUCAAUCUUGAAAGCAAAAUACCACACAGAUUAAGGACACAGGGCAUAUCUUAAUCUUUUUUGCUUUUAUUUAACACUUUAAAACAAUUAAACUAAAACCAGUUUCAAGACAAGACCAGAUAAUUUCACAAUUAAAUUUUCAAAUACAUGGGAAAUAUGUCCAAUAAUACUUUCUUCCUGGUAAAAGUUCAAUCAAAUCCUUAAUAAGUAUACACUUUAACAACACCAUGACCAUGUGAGACUUCAAGUUUUUUUUUCUCCAAAAUACUUAAUAUUCUUAAAUAUAGAAUUGAUAAGCAUGUGAUGAAGAGGUCAUUUUCUGAAAUGAAGGUUUUCUAAAAAACAAAGAAAUUUAAGCAAUUUUUUUGAAAAAGAGAAUCUCCCAGAUGAAAUUUAUUUUGGGGCUUGCAUUUCCUAUUAAGUUAUCCUUGAUAGAGGGUUGCUGCUUAUAAGCACACUAAUUGGUUUGAAUGAUAAAGUUGAAAUCAUUUCUUUGAAAGAUUUGGGAAGCCAUCAUGAUUUGGUUGACAGUUAUGCAGUACCUGUGGCACAGAUGAUCACAUGUAUGCUCCAUAGCAACAACACAUUCCCCUUUAAGGUGGUAUGGGAGUCUAAAUUAAAAAUGAUAGAAUUUGUUCAUACUUUGCCAAAAUGUAGUAUCUAUUGAUAUAUGUUCAAAAAUAUAAUAAAAAUGAUAGGUCACCGCGCAUUUUCUCAAGUUACAAGUCAUGACAAAAUGACACAUUUCGUAUGGAUUAUACAGGAAAAAACAGCAUUAUGUGAUUAGAAGCUAAACUAAAUAUAGAAUUGUAAAAUAAAAUACGAGAAGAUAGCUUUUAAAAAAUGGUUUGAGAAUAUUAAAAGAAAAGAUAGGGUCACUGCGUUUUUUCCAUCUAGAAUUCAAAAUAGCAAAAUUCCAUGUAGAUUCCUUCUUAAAAUGCACUUUUUCAGAGUUACCUCCCCUUAAAAUGCAAUUUCAAAAAAUAUAAAAAAAAUCAAGCUAAAAUAAUUUACACUGGUAAAAAUAUUAAUUAUUAUAAGUUAUAAUCUCAUAAAUUCCUUCUUUUUAAUUCAAAUUCACAUUUGUUUACUGCAUUCCUGUUCAAAUUUUACUAACUUGAUUGAAAAUCUGGACCUUAGAUUCUCUGUUUUCCACAAUCAAAGAUGGCAAAAGACACUCAUACCACCUUAAAGAGAUUAUGCAACUUAUAACUAAACUCUUACUUGCAGUGAAUGUUCAGGAGUGGAGCAGGACGUAGUAUUUUGGAGCACCUGUUUUUAACCCUGGUUUUUGGUGUUUCGAGUUCUAGUUUUCUGUGUAGAGUUUUGUGGACUUGUUUGACUUUUGUAAUUCUUUUCUUGGUUAUUGACUGAGAUUUUUCUGACUAAUGGUUAUGAUUUCCACCUUAGUUUUAUGAAGCACAAUUGAUUCCAAACGGGUACAAGUUACAAAUAUCUGACUCCAGCUUCACACUGGGAAACACACAGCAUUACACUGUGAAACAAUGUAAAAUUGAAUUAUUAAUCCUUAUUUUACUCAAAUAUUAACUAAUGAAUGCAUGAUUAUAAAUGAUAAUUAUAUGUAAUGGAGUAUCAACAAUAAACAAAGAACUUAAAAAUACAUUCACUUUAAAGUUGAUCUCAUUCUUAAUCACUUGACACCUCUCUAUAUUAAAAGUAUCUAUUAUAAGUAUCAGCCGCUCUUUUCACCAAAAAAUCUUUGGAAUAAAAUACUAUCAAGCCAUAUACAUUUCAGUAUUACUUUUGAUCAAUUUUAAUCAUAAGAUUUUUUGGUAAAAAGAGUCGCAGGCUACAUGUUUGACAACAGUGAGGACAACUGUUACAUACAUGUAUUAAUACAGGUUUUCGUAUUAUUUAAACAUUUUCAAUUUUAACUUUCUUAUCAAAGCAUUUUACUGAGGUCUAAUGUCAUCCACCUCGAUCGUUUUAUAGCUUAAUUAUCUCAGUGUAUAUUGGUACUUAGAACACAAUUUAAAGUUGGUUGAUUUCUUAAGUUUACUUCUUUAUAAGUUAUACUAAUUAUAUAUAAUCAAUAAUUGUUGGACCUGUUUCUAUUGAUAGUGUCAUGAUUUGAUUUGGGACAGGGGGGAAGAUAAAGCUUAAAAGCCAAAAAAAUUAUAAACAUUAGGUGAUUAUUCUUUAUUAGUUUUAUCUUUUCAGUUUAAAACUUGAACAUUAUAUCUGAUAGAUAGGAUCAAGUUUCCUUAUCCAUUAAAAUGAAAGGGGAAAAAAAUGUUUUUUCACAUAUUCAUUACUCAUUGUAAAAUAUAAGAACAUAUUUUUUUUU